This 420-nucleotide RNase P RNA is filed under the name Rhizobiales bacterium 63-22. RNAcentral's name for it is "RNase P RNA component class A". It matches the Rfam family "Bacterial RNase P class A". Rfam says of the family: Ribonuclease P (RNase P) is a ubiquitous endoribonuclease, found in archaea, bacteria and eukarya as well as chloroplasts and mitochondria. Its best characterised activity is the generation of mature 5'-ends of tRNAs by cleaving the 5'-leader elements of precursor-tRNAs. Lineage: Bacteria; Pseudomonadati; Pseudomonadota; Alphaproteobacteria; Hyphomicrobiales. The record is from RNAcentral. RNAcentral also lists the same sequence under 1 other name.
UCAGCCGGUCGGGCAGCCGCGCCUGUCAUAUGCCGAAAGGCGGCAGGUGAGGAAAGUCCGGGCUUCACGGAAACACGGUGCCGGGUAACGCCCGGCGGGGGCGACCCCAGGGAUAGUGCCACAGAAACCAGACCACCCGUCCGUUCCGCCGCGCAAGCGGCGGACGGGCGCGGAAAGGGUGAAAAGGUAGGGUAAGAGCCUACCGCGUGCGCAGCAAUGUGCAUGGCAGGGUAAACCACACCGGAAGCAAGACCGAGUAGGGACGGCGCGCCGGUCCGCAAGGGCCGGCAAUCGGUUUCCAGAUCAGCCGUCCGGGUGGGUUGCAAGAGGCGGGUGGCGACAUCCGUCCCAGAUGAAUGGCUGCCGCGCCGGGCGUGAAGCCCGGCCAUACAGAACCCGGCUUACAGACCGGCUGACAAU